This 497-nucleotide ribosomal RNA is filed under the name uncultured bacterium. RNAcentral describes it as "partial 16S ribosomal RNA". It matches the Rfam family "Bacterial small subunit ribosomal RNA", at positions 28 to 507 of the family's 1533-position model. The record is from RNAcentral.
GACGAACGCUGGCGGCGUGCCUAAUACAUGCAAGUAGAACGCUGAAGAGAGGAGCUUUCUCUUCUUGGAUGAGUUGCGAACGGGUGAGUAACGCGUAGGUAACCUGCCUUGUAGCGGGGGAUAACUAUUGGAAACGAUAGCUAAUACCGCAUAACACUGGAUGACACAUGUCAUUUAUUUGAAAGGGGCAAUUGCUCCACUAAAAGAUGGACCUGCGUUUUAUUAGGUAGUAGGUGAGGUAAUGGCUCACCUAGGCGACGAUACAUAGCCGACCGGAGAGGGUGAUCGGCCACACUGGGACUGGGACACGGCCCAGACUCCUACGGGAGGCAGCAGUAGGGGAUCUUCGGCAAUGGGGGCAACCCUGACCGAGCAACGCCGCGGGAGGGAAGAAGGGUUUCGGAUCGUAAAGCUCUGUUGUAAGUCAAGAACGGGUGUGAGAGUGGAAAGUUCACACUGUGACGGUAGCUUACCAGAAAGGGACGGCUAACUACGUG